UCGCCAUUCUCUAAUCUCGAGUACCCAGGGACACAAUACACUGCGGAAGGCCACAGGGACCUCUGCCCAGGAAAGCCAGGUGGUUUCAAAAGGAAAAGCUUUGGGAGAUAGAAGUCCUCGUUUUGACCUCUGCCCUCCUUGUACACCAGGAACCAGAAAAACUUCAUCUCUUUUACAAGAAACAUUGAGAUUCCUGUAAAAUUAAGAAAUCACACAAUUUGAUGCUCUACAUUAUCUAAAGCAAAUGAGACUUCUAUUUGGAACAAAGACUACCUUGUUGGGAAAUGAGUCUGCAAGUUAAAGUGUUUUCUGGGGUCACUCUAAGCUCCAGUGUCAAGGAGUCAAGUCCUUCGGGAAUUCUCUGCCUCCACUCCCUGUGGCAGAGCUAGAGUGGCUGCUAUGCUUCUGAGCUCAGCCAGCAUCCAGGCAGAGAGUGAGAUACAGCCUCCUCUUCUUGA
RNAcentral lists this long non-coding RNA (458 nucleotides) under Pongo abelii (Sumatran orangutan). Its description in RNAcentral is "lincRNA". Lineage: Eukaryota; Metazoa; Chordata; Mammalia; Primates; Hominidae. The record is from RNAcentral.